Small nuclear RNA from Microtus ochrogaster (prairie vole), 161 nucleotides. Its record names the gene U1. It matches the Rfam family "U1 spliceosomal RNA". From Rfam's summary of the family: U1 is a small nuclear RNA (snRNA) component of the spliceosome (involved in pre-mRNA splicing). Its 5' end forms complementary base pairs with the 5' splice junction, thus defining the 5' donor site of an intron. The record is from Ensembl. Lineage: Eukaryota; Metazoa; Chordata; Mammalia; Rodentia; Cricetidae.
AUGCUUUACCUGGCAGGUGAGAUACCAUGAUCAAAAGGUGUUUUCCCCAGGGUGAGGCUUAACCAUUGCACUCUGGAUAUGCUGACUGAAAAAUACCUCAAAUAAUGGAAGCUUGACUGCAGUAUAAGCAGUAGAAGGUACUGUGUUCUUAUUACCCCCUC